This 517-nucleotide ribosomal RNA is filed under the name Calonectria canadiana. RNAcentral's name for it is "eukaryotic LSU rRNA". The stretch from base 151 to 304 matches the Rfam family "5.8S ribosomal RNA". Lineage: Eukaryota; Fungi; Ascomycota; Sordariomycetes; Hypocreales; Nectriaceae. The record is from RNAcentral.
AGGGAUCAUUACCGAGUUUACAACUCCCAAACCCCAUGUGAACAUACCUGUUUCGUUCCCUCGGCGGUGUCCGGCAACGGCCCGCCAGAGGACCCAACAAACUCUUUUGAAUUUUUCAGUAUCUUCUGAGUAAAAAAAACAAUAAAUCAAAACUUUCAACAACGGAUCUCUUGGUUCUGGCAUCGAUGAAGAACGCAGCGAAAUGCGAUAAGUAAUGUGAAUUGCAGAAUUCAGUGAAUCAUCGAAUCUUUGAACGCACAUUGCGCCCGCCAGUAUUCUGGCGGGCAUGCCUGUUCGAGCGUCAUUUCAACCCUCAAGCACCUUCGGGAGCUUGGUGUUGGGGAUCGGCAGGGCGUCCUCCGGGUCGCGCCGUCCCCCAAAUCUAGUGGCGGUCUCGCUGUAGCUUCCUCUGCGUAGUAAUACACCUCGCUCUGGAGUCUCGGUGCGGCCACGCCGUAAAACCCCCAACUUUUUUCUGGUUGACCUCGAAUCAGGUAGGACUACCCGCUGAACUUAA